GACGAAGGAUCCAAGCGUUAUCCGGAUUUAUUGGGUUUAAUGGGUGCGUAGGCGGAUUGAUAAGUCAGUGGUGAAAGCCUGUUGCUUAACAACAGAACUGCCAUUGAUACUGUCAAUCUUGAAUAUGUUUGAUGUGGGCGGAAUAUGACAUGUAGCGGUGAAAUGCUUAGAUAUGUCAUAGAACACCGAUUGCGAAGGCAGCUCACAAAGCCAUUAUUGACGCUGAUGCACGAAAGCUAGGGGAGCAAACAGG
Molecule: ribosomal RNA, 253 nt
Filed under: uncultured bacterium
Lineage: Bacteria
Description: partial 16S ribosomal RNA
Rfam family: Bacterial small subunit ribosomal RNA
Source: RNAcentral